RNAcentral lists this ribosomal RNA (427 nucleotides) under uncultured bacterium. RNAcentral's name for it is "partial 16S ribosomal RNA". It matches the Rfam family "Bacterial small subunit ribosomal RNA", at positions 355 to 774 of the family's 1533-position model. The record is from RNAcentral.
UGGGGAAUAUUGGACAAUGGGCGAAAGCCUGAUCCAGCCAUGCCGCGUGUGUGAAGAAGGUCUUCGGAUUGUAAAGCACUUUAAGUUGGGAGGAAGGGCAGUAAGUUAAUACCUUGCUGCUUUGACGUUACCGACAGAAUAAUCACCGGCUAACUCUGUGCCAGCAGCCGCGGUAAUACAGAGGGUGCAAGCGUUAAUCGGAAUUACUGGGCGUAAAGCGCGCGUAGGUGGUUUGUUAAGUUGGAUGUGAAAGCCCCGGGCUCAACCUGGGAACUGCAUCCAAAACUGGCAAGCUAGAGUACGGUAGAGGGUGGUGGAAUUUCCUGUGUAGCGGUGAAAUGCGUAGAUAUAGGAAGGAACACCAGUGGCGAAGGCGACCACCUGGACUGAUACUGACACUGAGGUGCGAAAGCGUGGGGAGCAAACA